Molecule: ribosomal RNA, 460 nt
Filed under: uncultured bacterium
Lineage: Bacteria
Description: partial 16S ribosomal RNA
Rfam family: Bacterial small subunit ribosomal RNA
Source: RNAcentral
CCUACGGGAGGCAGCAGUGAGGAAUAUUGGUCAAUGUACGAGAGUCUGAACCAGCCAAGUAGCGUGAAGGAUGACUGCCCUAUGGGUUGUACACUUCUUUUAUAUGGGAAUAAAAUGUUCCACGUGUGGGAUUUUGUAUGUACCAUAUGAAUAAGGAUCGGCUAACUCCGUGCCAGAAGCCGCGGUAAUACGGAGGAUACGAUCGUUAUCCGGAUUUAUUGGGUUGAAAGGGAGCGUAAGUGGAUUGUUAAGUCGGGUGUGAAAGUUUGCGGCUCAACCGUAAAAUUGCAGUUGAAACUGGCAGUAUUGAGGACAGUAGAGGUGGGCGGAAUUCGGGGUGUAGCGGUGAAAUGCUGAGAUAUCACGAAGAACUCCGAUUGCGAAGGCAGCUCACUGGACUGCAACUGACACUGAGGCUCGAAAGUGUGGGUAUCAAACAGGAUUAGAUACCCCUGUAGUC